Molecule: ribosomal RNA, 315 nt
Filed under: uncultured eukaryote
Lineage: Eukaryota
Description: partial 18S ribosomal RNA
Rfam family: Eukaryotic small subunit ribosomal RNA
Source: RNAcentral
ACCCUUAGAUGUUCUGGGCCGCACGCGUGCUACACUGACCGGUGCAACAAGUUUCUUUCCUUGGCUCGAUAGGCCUGGGUAAUCUUUGAACACCGGUCGUGAUGGGGAUAGAUCCUUGCAAUUUUUGAUCUUCAACGAGGAAUUCCUAGUAAAUGCGAGUCAUCAUCUCGCGUUGAUUACGUCCCUGCCCUUUGUACACACCGCCCGUCGCACCUACCGAUUGAAUGGUCCGGUGAAGCCUCCGGAUUGCGCGGCUUCGGCUGUCGCGAGAAGUUGGCUAAACCUUACCAUUUAGAGGAAGGUGAAGUCGUAACA